Cynocephalus volans (Philippine flying lemur) is the source of this 836-nucleotide long non-coding RNA. RefSeq lists it as uncharacterized. The transcript is spliced from 3 exons. The record is from RefSeq and is a predicted model, not a curated record. NCBI's taxonomy places the organism in Eukaryota, Metazoa, Chordata, Mammalia, Dermoptera, Cynocephalidae.
UUCUAGUUCAUUCUGGCUGAAACUUCAACUCAGUUAGGCCAAUUUUUUAAAGUUGAAUCAGAGUCUUGGGGGUGAGGCCUGGGCAUUAGUGUGAUUCUAACAUAGGGCAAAAGUUAAGAACCACAGCCCUGGUUGGUAUGUAGAGUCUGUGAAAUUCUGCCUGGUCUGCUGGUGCUGGAGGAGGGCAGAGCUCCACUCACCAGGGUGUCCCAGAGAGCUCAGCAGGAGAGGAGGGAACCAGCCCCGGCCAAGCAAGAAGCCACCACACUGGUGACACUGCAACUUUCCCUGUCCGUGGGGACGCCGAAGGAAGCUGGUAGGACGAAACUCAUCUUGCCUCCUCUGGGAGACUGGCCUGUGUCUUCAGAAAGGGAGAUGGAAAUACGGAGAGAAGGCCCAAGGCUGACUGAGGGCAGGCCGGGCCUCCCAAGAGCAGGGCGGAGCACAGGCAUGGAGGAAGGAGCCGGCAGCCACCUCCUCCUGGGCCUGGCCUCAGGACUGUCACCAGGGCCCGCUUCUCCCUGGGCAGACCCCAUCGGGGGCGGCCACCUUGCUUUGGCCCCGCACCAGGGAGUGGAAGUUUCCUCCUGGUUUUGAGUGUUUUUACUACAAACAAACUAGGGAUUCUUAGAAAAAGAGAUUACAUGAAAAUAACAUCAUCACACCGUGGAUAAACUUUGAUUGCUGGACAGUUAAGUUCGAGAGAAACAACUAAUUAAGGGAAAAAUUUUCCAGUGUGAGUUAUUUUGACCACCAACCCCACACACCCACCCAUCCACACCCACAGUGUGUACGCCACGUGUGCCACCCGCAUGCACAGGCAUUAGUGUGGGGAC